GAUGAACGCUGGCGGCGUGCCUAAUACAUGCAAGUCGAGCGAACGGACGAGAAGCUUGCUUCUCUGAUGUUAGCGGCGGACGGGUGAGUAACACGUGGAUAACCUACCUAUAAGACUGGGAUAACUUCGGGAAACCGGAGCUAAUACCGGAUAAUAUUUUGAACCGCAUGGUUCAAAAGUGAAAGACGGUCUUGCUGUCACUUAUAGAUGGAUCCGCGCUGCAUUAGCUAGUUGGUAAGGUAACGGCUUACCAAGGCAACGAUGCAUAGCCGACCUGAGAGGGUGAUCGGACACACUGGAACUGAGACACGGUCCAGACUCCUACGGGAGGCAGCAGUAGGGAAUCUUCCGCAAUGGGCGAAAGCCUGACGGAGCAACGCCGCGUGAGUGAUAAAGGUCUUCGGAUCGUAAAACUCUGUUAUUAGGGAAGAACAUAUGUGUAAGUAACUGUGCACAUCUUGACGGUACCUAAUCAGAAAGCCACGGCUAACUACGUG
RNAcentral lists this ribosomal RNA (497 nucleotides) under uncultured bacterium. RNAcentral's name for it is "partial 16S ribosomal RNA". It matches the Rfam family "Bacterial small subunit ribosomal RNA", at positions 28 to 507 of the family's 1533-position model. The record is from RNAcentral.